RNAcentral lists this ribosomal RNA (515 nucleotides) under uncultured bacterium. Its description in RNAcentral is "partial 16S ribosomal RNA". It matches the Rfam family "Bacterial small subunit ribosomal RNA", at positions 28 to 523 of the family's 1533-position model. The record is from RNAcentral.
GACGAACGCUGGCGGCGUGCCUAAUACAUGCAAGUCGAGCGGACUUUCAAGAAGCUUGCUUUUUGAAAGUUAGCGGCGGACGGGUGAAUAACACGAGGGCAACCUGCCUGUAAGACGGGGAUAACCCCGGGAAACCGGGGCUAAUACCGGAUAAUAUCUUUCUUCGCAUGAAGGAAGGUUGAAAGGCGGCGCAAGCUGCCGCUUGCAGAUGGGCCCGCGGCGCAUUAGCUAGUUGGUGAGGUAACGGCUCACCAAGGCGACGAUGCGUAGCCGACCUGAGAGGGUGAUCGGCCACACUGGGACUGAGACACGGCCCAGACUCCUACGGGAGGCAGCAGUAGGGAAUCUUCCGCAAUGGACGAAAGUCUGACGGAGCAACGCCGCGUGAGCGAAGAAGGUCUUCGGAUCGUAAAGCUCUGUUGUCAGGGAAGAACAAGUACCGUUCGAAUAGGGCGGUACCUUGACGGUACCUGACCAGAAAGCCACGGCUAACUACGUGCCAGCAGCCGCCGUAA